RNAcentral lists this ribosomal RNA (1372 nucleotides) under uncultured bacterium. Its description in RNAcentral is "bacterial SSU rRNA". It matches the Rfam family "Bacterial small subunit ribosomal RNA", at positions 28 to 1381 of the family's 1533-position model. The record is from RNAcentral.
GAUGAACGCUGGCGGCGUGCCUAAUACAUGCAAGUCGAGCGAACGGACGAGAAGCUUGCUUCUCUGAUGUUAGCGGCGGACGGGUGAGUAACACGUGGAUAACCUACCUAUAAGACUGGGAUAACUUCGGGAAACCGGAGCUAAUACCGGAUAAUAUUUUGAACCGCAUGGUUCAAAAGUGAAAGACGGUCUUGCUGUCACUUAUAGAUGGAUCCGCGCUGCAUUAGCUAGUUGGUAAGGUAACGGCUUACCAAGGCAACGAUGCAUAGCCGACCUGAGAGGGUGAUCGGCCACACUGGAACUGAGACACGGUCCAGACUCCUACGGGAGGCAGCAGUAGGGAAUCUUCCGCAAUGGGCGAAAGCCUGACGGAGCAACGCCGCGUGAGUGAUGAAGGUCUUCGGAUCGUAAAACUCUGUUAUUAGGGAAGAACAUAUGUGUAAGUAACUGUGCACAUCUUGACGGUACCUAAUCAGAAAGCCACGGCUAGCUACGUGCCAGCAGCCGCGGUAAUACGUAGGUGGCAAGCGUUAUCCGGAAAUAUUGGGCGUAAAGCGCGCGUAGGCGGUUUUUUAAGUCUGAUGUGAAAGCCCACGGCUCAACCGUGGAGGGUCAUUGGAAACUGGAAAACUUGAGUGCAGAAGAGGAAAGUGGAAUUCCAUGUGUAGCGGUGAAAUGCGCAGAGAUAUGGAGGAACACCAGUGGCGAAGGCGACUUUCUGGUCUGUAACUGACGCUGAUGUGCGAAAGCGUGGGGAUCAAACAGGAUUAGAUACCCUGGUAGUCCACGCCGUAAACGAUGAGUGCUAAGUGUUAGGGGGUUUCCGCCCCUUAGUGCUGCAGCUAACGCAUUAAGCACUCCGCCUGGGGAGUACGACCGCAAGGUUGAAACUCAAAGGAAUUGACGGGGACCCGCACAAGCGGUGGAGCAUGUGGUUUAAUUCGAAGCAACGCGAAGAACCUUACCAAAUCUUGACAUCCUUUGACAACUCUAGAGAUAGAGCUUUCCCCUUCGGGGGACAAAGUGACAGGUGGUGCAUGGUUGUCGUCAGCUCGUGUCGUGAGAUGUUGGGUUAAGUCCCGCAACGAGCGCAACCCUUAAGCUUAGUUGCCAUCAUUAAGUUGGGCACUCUAAGUUGACUGCCGGUGACAAACCGGAGGAAGGUGGGGAUGACGUCAAAUCAUCAUGCCCCUUAUGGUUUGGGCUACACACGUGCUACAAUGGACAAUACAAAGGGCAGCGAAACCGCGAGGUCAAGCAAAUCCCAUAAAGUUGUUCUCAGUUCGGAUUGUAGUCUGCAACUCGACUACAUGAAGCUGGAAUCGCUAGUAAUCGUAGAUCAGCAUGCUACGGUGAAUACGUUCCCGGGUCU